RNAcentral lists this ribosomal RNA (476 nucleotides) under uncultured bacterium. RNAcentral describes it as "partial 16S ribosomal RNA". It matches the Rfam family "Bacterial small subunit ribosomal RNA", at positions 28 to 523 of the family's 1533-position model. The record is from RNAcentral.
GAUGAACGCUGGCGGCGUGCUUAAUACAUGCAAGUCGAGCGAGUGAGUUCUUCGGAACGAUCUAGCGGCGGACGGGUGAGUAACACGUGGGCAACCUGCCUCAUAGAGGGGAAUAGCCUCCAGAAAGGGAGAUUAAUACCGCAUAAAAUUAUCGAGUGGCAUCACAUGAUAAUCAAAGGAGUAAUCCGCUAAGAGAUGGGACCGCGGCGCAUUAGCUAGUUGGGGAGGUAACGGCUCACCAAGGCGACGGUGCGUAGCCGGCCUGAGAGGGCGAGCGGCCACACUGGGAGUGAGACGCGGCCCGGACUCCUACGGAAGGCGGCAGUGGGGAAUAUUGCACAAUGGGGGAAACCCUGAUGCACCAAGGCCGGGUGAGUGAUGAAGUUCGUAGGGUUGAAGAGCUCUGUCUUUGGGGACGAUAAUGACGGUACCCAAAGAGGAAGCCACGGCUAACUACGUGCCAGCCGCCGCCGUAA